AACAGGAUUAGAUACCCUGGUAGUCCACGUUGUAAACGAUGUCGACUUGGAGGUUGUGCCCUUGAGGCGUGGCUUCCGGAGCUAACGCGUUAAGUCGACCGCCUGGGGAGUACGGCCGCAAGGUUAAAACCCAAAUGAAUUGACGGGGGCCCGCACAAGCGGUGGAGCAUGUGGUUUAAUUCGAUGCAACGCGAAGAACCUUACCUACUCUUGACAUCCAGAGAAUUUGCUAGAGAUAGCUUAGUGCCUUCGGGAACUCUGAGACAGGUGCUGCAUGGCUGUCGUCAGCUCGUGUUGUGAAAUGUUGGGUUAAGUCCCGCAACGAGCGCAACCCUUAUCCUUUGUUGCCAGCACGUAAUGGUGGGAACUCAAAGGAGACUGCCGGUGAUAAACCGGAGGAAGGUGGGGAUGACGUCAAGUCAUCAUGGCCCUUACGAGUAGGGCUACACACGUGCUACAAUGGCAUAUACAAAGAGAAGCGAACUCGCGAGAGCAAGCGGACCUCAUAAAGUAUGUCGUAGUCCGGAUUGGAGUCUGCAACUCGACUCCAUGAAGUCGGAAUCGCUAGUAAUCGUAGAUCAGAAUGCUACGGUGAAUACGUUCCCGGGCCUUGUACACACCGCCCGUCACACCAUGGGAGUGGGUUGCAAAAGAAGUAGGUAGCUUAACCUUCGGGAGGGCGCUUACCACUUUGUGAUUCAUGACUGGGGUGAAGUCGUAACAAGGUAACC
RNAcentral lists this ribosomal RNA (731 nucleotides) under uncultured bacterium. RNAcentral describes it as "bacterial SSU rRNA". It matches the Rfam family "Bacterial small subunit ribosomal RNA", at positions 771 to 1501 of the family's 1533-position model. The record is from RNAcentral.